CAGUAAAUUAAAAAUUUUUGGCUUUUUGCAUAUAAACUAAUACAAUAAAAAACCAUUUAGAGUCCAUGGGAUAUCGGAUCUUUAGCGGGUAGAAUCCGUUAUGCGGCAGAUGCUUAUUUUAAUCGUCUCCACUCACUAAUCAGCAGCAUUUCGACAGCUGAAACUUUCAAGAAGACUGCUGUUUUGCACCCCUUCUGCGAUUGUUGAUCAUGGGAAACAAGCAAGCAAAGUCUGUAAAGCCACAGAAGGAAGAAGUGCUGUUGAAGAUUGUGCCUCCUAUAGAUCAAGCCUAUGCUCGCUGGCUUUUUCGAGAUCUCGAGAGGAUUCAUGGCAUUGCUCCAAGAAACCCUCGAGCCAUAGAGCCACCAGAGCAUUACAUUGAGUACAUGCGUCUGAAUGGAUGGUUGGAUGUAGACCUGGAUGACCCUGAUCUGGCACACUUGUUCAAGUAAAUGAUCUUUGCUUGUCAAUAUCCAGAAAGAGUCGCACUUAGGCAACUGAUGGAAGAUAAAGCACUGGGACAUGCACCCUCACCAUUCUGUAUAUGGACCCUUUGUUAUAACAUUUUGUAUGAGCUGAAUCAUUAUUCAGACAUAUAAAGAGUGGAUGAGAGUAUAUUAUCGCAGAUUGGGAUCAAUGUUUGCACCUCUUAAGAGCUGCAUUUUUGUAUAGAUAGGAAUUAUCAUUCUUGCUCCAAUUUGCCUAUUGUGAGGCUUUCAUUACAGCGGUAAUGGGUACUCGCCCAAAAGAACAAAAAAUGGCACAUGAUCUCGUAACAUUCUGGCAUUACCAA
Non-coding RNA from Coffea arabica (coffee), 793 nucleotides. Lineage: Eukaryota; Viridiplantae; Streptophyta; Magnoliopsida; Gentianales; Rubiaceae. The record is from RefSeq and is a predicted model, not a curated record.